GUGAACGCUGGCGGUAGGCCUAACCCAUGCAAGUCGCACGGCAGCACAGUAAGAGCUUGCUCUUACGGGUGGCGAGUGGCGGACGGGUGAGGAAUACAUCGGAAUCUACUUUUUCGUGGGGGAUAACGUAGGGAAACUUACGCUAAUACCGCAUACGACCUACGGGUGAAAGCAGGGGAUCUUCGGACCUUGCGCGAUUGAAUUAGCCGAUGUCGGAUUAGCUAGUUGGCGGGGUAAAGGCCCACCAAGGCGACGAUCCGUAGCUGGUCUGAGAGGAUGAUCAGCCAAACUGGAACUGAGACACGGUCCAGACUCCUACGGGAGGCAGCAGUGGGGAAUAUUGGACAAUGGGCGAAAGCAUGAUACAGCCAUACCGCGUGGGUGAAGAAGGCCUUCGGGUUGUAAAGCCCUUUUGUUGGGAAAGAAAAGCAGCAGGUUAAUACCCCGCUGUUCUGACGGUACCCAAAGAAUAAGCACCGGCUAACUUCGUG
RNAcentral lists this ribosomal RNA (491 nucleotides) under uncultured bacterium. Its description in RNAcentral is "partial 16S ribosomal RNA". It matches the Rfam family "Bacterial small subunit ribosomal RNA", at positions 29 to 507 of the family's 1533-position model. The record is from RNAcentral.